CUCCCCAAACCCAUGCAGUUAUCCGGCCCGUAUCUGAGACAUCCUUCGUCUUCGGGUCCUGCCGUUUGUGCUACGGCCGCCCGAAGUCCCGUCGCUCUUUUUUUGGCUGUGUCUGACGGAGGCUGGUUGCCGAGAGUCCCGGAGCCGGGGCACACCGGGCUUCAGAGGCCAGGGUUUGGGGACUGCGAGGGCACCUGUUGCGUUUUUCGGCUUCGUGGAGCCUAGUGGAUUGGGCGGGGAGGGGUGAGACCCAUCUCACCUGCGUUCUCAGUUUGGGAUAGAUGGCUUGGAGGUGAUGGCAACCCAAGAGGUGAAGUGGGUGCCGAGGGCGCCCGGGCGAGUUGUGGCGAGUGAAGCUGUUCCCAUGUAAUGACACAGUAACUAUCCGGACCAGGAAGUUCAUGACUAACCGACUACUUCAGCGGAAACAGAUGGUCAUUGAUGUUCUUCACCCUGGAAAGGCAACGGUACCUAAGA
Molecule: non-coding RNA, 477 nt
Organism: Callorhinus ursinus (northern fur seal)
Lineage: Eukaryota; Metazoa; Chordata; Mammalia; Carnivora; Otariidae
Source: RefSeq, a predicted model, not a curated record